This 294-nucleotide ribosomal RNA is filed under the name Triticum aestivum (bread wheat). Its description in RNAcentral is "partial small subunit ribosomal RNA". Lineage: Eukaryota; Viridiplantae; Streptophyta; Magnoliopsida; Poales; Poaceae. The record is from RNAcentral.
AUGGCGCAGUCCCAUGACCAGGUGCUCGCCUCCGCCUCCCUCCUGCACCGUCCGGUGACCGUGCUCCCUGUCCCGCUCGGCGACCUCGCUGCUCCGACGACCCCAAGCUCCGCCUUAAAGGCCAUGAUGCUGUUGCGAGGCGGUGGUUUUCCGUUGGCGGUGGUGCCUUCCGGUCCCGGUGAUGUUGUGGUUGUGGUGGGUCCUCCGGUGGCGGUGCUGACAUCCAGGGGUGCUGUGGUGGUGGUGCUGUCCACCGGAUCUCCUGCUGGUGCUGUCGACGUCCGUGUCCGCUGA